GAUGAACGCUGGCGGCGUGCCUAAUACAUGCAAGUCGAGCGAACAGACGAGGAGCUUGCUCCUCUGACGUUAGCGGCGGACGGGUGAGUAAAACGUGGAUAACCUACCUAUAAGACUGGGAUAACUUCGGGAAACCGGAGCUAAUACCGGAUAAUAUAUUGAACCGCAUGGUUCAAUAGUGAAAGACGGUUUUGCUGUCACUUAUAGAUGUAUCCGCGCCGCAUUAGCUAGUUGGUAAGGUAACGGCUUACCAAGGCGACGAUGCGUAGCCGACCUGUGAGGGUGGACGGCCACGCAGGAACUGAUACACGGUCACGUCUACUACGAGAGGAAGCAGUAGCUAAACUUACGCAAUGGGCGAAAGCCUGACGGAGCAACGCCGGUGGAGUGAUGAAGGUCUUCGGAUCGUAAAACUAUGUUAUGAGGGAAGAACAAAUGUGUAAGUAACUAUGCACUUCUUGGCGGUACCUAAUCAGAAAGCCACGGCUAACUACGUG
RNAcentral lists this ribosomal RNA (497 nucleotides) under uncultured bacterium. Its description in RNAcentral is "partial 16S ribosomal RNA". It matches the Rfam family "Bacterial small subunit ribosomal RNA", at positions 28 to 507 of the family's 1533-position model. The record is from RNAcentral.